This 443-nucleotide ribosomal RNA is filed under the name uncultured bacterium. RNAcentral's name for it is "partial 16S ribosomal RNA". It matches the Rfam family "Bacterial small subunit ribosomal RNA", at positions 338 to 795 of the family's 1533-position model. The record is from RNAcentral.
CCUACGGGAGGCAGCAGUGGGGAAUAUUGGGCAAUGGGCGCAAGCCUGACCCAGCAACGCCGCGUGAAGGAAGAAGGCUUUCGGGUUGUAAACUUCUUUUAUCAGGGACGAAGCAAGUGACGGUACCUGAUGAAUAAGCCACGGCUAACUACGUGCCAGCAGCCGCGGUAAUACGUAGGUGGCAAGCGUUAUCCGGAUUUACUGGGUGUAAAGGGCGUGUAGGCGGGAGUGCAAGUCAGAUGUGAAAACUAUGGGCUCAACCCAUAGCCUGCAUUUGAAACUGUACUUCUUGAGUGCUGGAGAGGCAAUCGGAAUUCCGGGUGUAGCGGUGAAAUGCGUAGAUAUACGGAGGAACACCAGUGGCGAAGGCGACCUACUGGAACAUUACUGACGCUCAUGCACGAAAGCGUGGGGAGCAAACAGGAUUAGAUACCCCGGUAGUC